AAAAAAAAAAAAAAAAAUUAAAGGCCCUCAUACAUAGCCAGAGAAUGCAACAAUUAUCCCUCCCCUUGUGCACAUUAUUGCUACCUUGACAAUCAAGUGAUUCUCAAAUUUGACAUAGAAUAUAGAGCACAGGAGAAAAAGGAAAAACAAGAAAGGAAAACUUUAGAGCACAAAAAAUUGAAAAAUUAUUUUGACAAACACAUCAGUGAAAAACCCUAUCAGUAACUAAAUAUCAAUGUGAAACAAAGAGCCUAUGCUAGGAAAUACAAACUAAAAGCUCUUGCAAUCAUGCUUAUUAUUUAAUUUCACCAGCCAAUACUCUUCAAUAAUAUGAUGAUUUGCAAAAUAUGUACCUGCGAAAAAUAUAAGAAUUACUU
Molecule: unclassified non-coding RNA, 377 nt
Filed under: Hevea brasiliensis (rubber tree)
Lineage: Eukaryota; Viridiplantae; Streptophyta; Magnoliopsida; Malpighiales; Euphorbiaceae
Source: RNAcentral